Small nuclear RNA from Cricetulus griseus (Chinese hamster), 107 nucleotides. The record is from Ensembl. NCBI's taxonomy places the organism in Eukaryota, Metazoa, Chordata, Mammalia, Rodentia, Cricetidae.
GUGUUUGCUUCGGCAGCACAUAUACUAAAAUUGGAAAGAUACAGGGAAGAUUGGCAUGCCCCCUGUGCAAGGAUGACACGCAAACUCGUAAAGCAUUCCAUAUUUUU